AAUGAAUAUGGAACCUGAAGCAAACAGAAAUGCAAACCCUUUCCCCUAAUUAAGAAAGGCUGCAAACUGACCCCAUGCAGAAAAGACCCUAGGUUCUUUCUGUUUUAGGAGGCAAGCAGGCUUUCUCCCCAACUCUGCAAUGGCAGGUGAGGGAAGGAUCAGCUGAUUAAAUUCACAAAGCUCUUACCUCACUUACCUUACAGUCUGGAAUCCAAGCAGCCACAAUUAAUCAGAAAGAAAACAAGUUUCCAAAGCCUGACGGGAUGUGCCACCUGUCGGUAAGACAUGGCAUGGCAUCUCCCCGCUACCUCAUGCACAACGACACCCCCUCAGCUUCCUUUCCCCACUGGAUUGUGCCUAGAUUAUUUAGACCGUAUGUUCCAGACUGAUCCAGAGGGAUAGUAAACACUACCAAAAGGAUGUUUUUAUAUUUAUUCACAUGUAUACAAAAAGAGAGAAGAGCUUCUCUUUAAGGCUGUGGAAACCUUUGACAAAUUUACAAAUACAGUUCUUAGAAAUCACACUUUCAGUUAUUCUGCCUAUUUCAUGGUGAUUAGCUGAGUUAUGGCUAACGUCACAAAGGCCCAAUUUAAAAUUUCUUGAGUUGAUGGCCAGGGUUUGUCUGUAGGCUGUAGAAUCAUAAUAAUCAGGUACAGCAAUAGUUAAUAACUUGACUUAGUUCCCACCUUGUUUCUUCACAUAUAACUUUCACCCAAGUUUUCAGUUAUUUUUAGCUCUAUCGAAAGUCCCAGGUGCUUGCUUUAUUCCAGCAUUAAGAUCACUUUGGAUGAAGAGAAAAGCCUAACAAGCACAUUUUUAAAGGACUGUUUUUCAAGAUAAUAGUUUGAGCUGAAAAUCAAUUACGUACCAGAUUCCCUUGUCAAUUUCCAGAAAAAAAAUAAUUCUGUGCUCCUGGCAGUUAAGUGCUACAAAUCACAUAUAACAAAGGGACUGAAUUUCUGCAUUCAGAGAAAAAAA
Gavialis gangeticus (Gharial) is the source of this 978-nucleotide long non-coding RNA. RefSeq lists it as uncharacterized. Lineage: Eukaryota; Metazoa; Chordata; Crocodylia; Gavialidae. The record is from RefSeq and is a predicted model, not a curated record. The transcript is spliced from 2 exons.